UAAUAAGUGUUUUAUGGCACUUUUUAAGUCCAUAUCCACCUUGUGUGCAAUGUCAGUCGAUCUUCUUCAUGGAGAUCGACCAAACAUCAACCUUAUCUUUUAACUCUUUGUCUGAAAAAUAUUAUGAAUAAACAAUUCAAAAUA
RNAcentral lists this unclassified non-coding RNA (144 nucleotides) under soil metagenome. RNAcentral describes it as "partial internal transcribed spacer 1". The record is from RNAcentral.